RNAcentral lists this ribosomal RNA (467 nucleotides) under uncultured bacterium. RNAcentral's name for it is "bacterial SSU rRNA". It matches the Rfam family "Bacterial small subunit ribosomal RNA", at positions 29 to 506 of the family's 1533-position model. The record is from RNAcentral.
AUGAAUGUUGGCGGCGUGUCUAAGGCAUGCAAGUCGAGCGGAUUAUUUCGUGUAGCAAUACGUGAAAUAGUCAGCGGCAAACGGGUGCGUAACACAUUGGUAACUUGCCUCGAAGUCGGGCACAACCAGCCGAAAGGUUGGCUAAUUCCACGAUGGUCAUACAGGCGUAAAGCUUGUAUGUAAAGCCGCAAGGCGCUUCGAGAGAGACCUAUGGCCUAUCAGCUAGUUGGUGAGGUAACGGCUCACCAAGGCUAUGACGGGUAGGGGACGUGAGAGCGUGAUCCCCCUCACUGGAACUGAGACACUGUCCAGACACCUACGGGUGGCUGCAGUCGAGAAUAUUCCCCAAUGGGCGAAAGCCUGAGGGAGCGACGCCGCGUGUGGGAUGAAGGGCUUCGGCUCGUAAACCACUUUUACCAGGGACGAAUACUGACGGUACCUGGAGAAUAAGAGGUUGCUAACUCUGU